This 523-nucleotide ribosomal RNA is filed under the name uncultured bacterium. Its description in RNAcentral is "bacterial SSU rRNA". It matches the Rfam family "Bacterial small subunit ribosomal RNA", at positions 356 to 896 of the family's 1533-position model. The record is from RNAcentral.
GGGGAAUAUUGCACAAUGGGGGAAACCCUGAUGCAGCGACGCCGCGUGAGUGAAGAAGUAUUUCGGUAUGUAAAGCUCUAUCAGCAGGGAAGAAAAUGACGGUACCUGAGUAAGAAGCCCCGGCUAACUACGUGCCAGCAGCCGCGGUAAUACGUAGGGGGCAAGCGUUAUCCGGAUUUACUGGGUGUAAAGGGAGCGCAGACGGCUCUGCAAGUCUGAAGUGAAAGCCCGCGGCUUAACCGCGGGACUGCUUUGGAAACUGCAGGGCUUGAGUAUCGGAGGGGCAGGCGGAAUUCCUAGUGUAGCGGUGAAAUGCGUAGAUAUUAGGAAGAACACCGGUGGCGAAGGCGGCCUGCUGGACGAAAACUGACGUUGAGGCUCGAAGGCGUGGGGAGCAAACAGGAUUAGAUACCCUGGUAGUCCACGCGGUAAACGAUGAAUACUAGGUGUUGGUGCCCGAAGGGCAUCGGUGCCGUCGCAAACGCAAUAAGUAUUCCGCCUGGGGAGUACGGUCGCAAGAUUA